GGGUCCGUCACGGUUUCGACAGGUUGGCGAACGCUACUCUGUGAUUCAGGUCGAGAGUGAGUCUCCUCUCGCAAAUCAAAGGCUCAAAACAAAAAGUAAAUGCGAAUAACAUCGUUAGCUUUGCUCGUAAGCCUGCUCUAGUAGCAGCUGCCUAAAAACCUCUUACAGGUUCGAGCGUCUCUGGUUUGACUCCGUUAAGGACUAGAGACCAACCCCCAACGGACGCUCUAACAAGUGUUCUCUGGUUGGCUUGUUAGCUAAGACUUAAUCAGAGCAUCCUACGUUCGGGAUAAUGAACGAUUCCCGCCUUGAGGAUUAGAAAGGCUAAACCUGUGAAUGAGCGGGGGGUAAAUACCCAGUCUGGACAGCAGUUCGACUCUGCUCGGAUCCAC
RNAcentral lists this transfer-messenger RNA (392 nucleotides) under Nodularia sp. NIES-3585. RNAcentral's name for it is "transfer-messenger RNA, SsrA". It matches the Rfam family "transfer-messenger RNA". From Rfam's summary of the family: Bacterial tmRNA, also known as 10Sa RNA or SsrA, is named for its dual tRNA and mRNA-like properties. Its role is to liberate the mRNA from a stalled ribosome. To accomplish this part of the tmRNA is used as a reading frame that ends in a translation stop signal. Lineage: Bacteria; Bacillati; Cyanobacteriota; Cyanophyceae; Nostocales; Nodulariaceae. The record is from RNAcentral.